UUUUAUUUGAGAGUUUGAUCCUGGCUCAGGAUGAACGCUGGCGGCGUGCCUAACACAUGCAAGUUGAGCGAUUUACUUCGGUAAAGAGCGGCGGACGGGUGAGUAACGCGUGGGUAACCUACCCUGUACACACGGAUAACAUACCGAAAGGUAUGCUAAUACGGGAUAAUAUAGUUGAGAGGCAUCUCUUGAAUAUCAAAGGUGAGCCAGUACAGGAUGGACCCGCGUCUGAUUAGCUAGUUGGUAAGGUAACGGCUUACCAAGGCGACGAUCAGUAGCCGACCUG
Molecule: ribosomal RNA, 286 nt
Filed under: Clostridioides difficile
Lineage: Bacteria; Bacillati; Bacillota; Clostridia; Peptostreptococcales; Peptostreptococcaceae
Description: partial 16S ribosomal RNA
Rfam family: Bacterial small subunit ribosomal RNA
Source: RNAcentral